This is a non-coding RNA of Clostridium sp. CAG:571, 353 nucleotides long. NCBI's taxonomy places the organism in Bacteria, Bacillati, Bacillota, Clostridia, Eubacteriales, Clostridiaceae. The record is from Rfam.
AGAGUAAAUUGAAUAGUCGCGUAUAGCAAGGUCGAAAGGCAGCGUACGAGGAAAGUCCGGGCUCCACUAGAGCAAUGAUGCUGGAUAACGUCCAGUAAGGGAAACCUUAAGGAAAGUGCAACAGAAAAUAACCGCCAAAUAGUAUUUGGUAAGGGUGAAAAGGUGAGGUAAGAGCUUACCGCCAGUAUGGUGACACACUGGGCAUAUGUAAACCCCAUCUGGAGCAACACCGAGAAAAGAAGGCUAAGACUGCUCGUCAUCUUCUUAAUUUGGUGGCUUGAGACAUAUAGUAAUAUAUGUACUAGAUAAAUGACUAUUCACGACAGAACCCGGCUUAUAGAUUUACUUAUAAU